UGAGGAAUAUUGGUCAAUGGGCGGGAGCCUGAACCAGCCAAGUCGCGUGAGGGAAGACGGCCCUACGGGUUGUAAACCUCUUUUACAAGGGAAUAAAGGGCACCACGGGUGGUGUUUUGCAUGUACCUUGUGAAUAAGCAUCGGCUAACUCCGUGCCAGCAGCCGCGGUAAUACGGAGGAUGCGAGCGUUAUCCGGAUUCAUUGGGUUUAAAGGGUGCGUAGGUGGCCUCUUAAGUCAGCGGUGAAAGUCAGUGGCUCAACCAUUGAACUGCCGUUGAAACUGGGGAGCUUGAGUACGUACGGGGCAGGCGGAAUGCGUGGUGUAGCGGUGAAAUGCAUAGAUAUCACGCAGAACCCCGAUCGCGAAGGCAGCCUGCCAGGCCGUGACUGACACUGAUGCACGAAAGCGUGGGUAUCGAACAGG
RNAcentral lists this ribosomal RNA (424 nucleotides) under uncultured bacterium. RNAcentral's name for it is "bacterial SSU rRNA". It matches the Rfam family "Bacterial small subunit ribosomal RNA", at positions 355 to 776 of the family's 1533-position model. The record is from RNAcentral.